UACGUAGGGUGCGAGCGUUGUCCGGAAUUAUUGGGCGUAAAGGGCUCGUAGGCGGUUUGUCGCGUCGGGAGUGAAAUCCACUGGCUUAACUGGUGGCUUGCUUUCGAUACGGGCAGACUGGAGGUAUGCAGGGGAGAACGGAAUUCCUGGUGUAGCGGUGAAAUGCGCAGAUAUCAGGAGGAACACCGGUGGCGAAGGCGGUUCUCUGGGCCUUACCUGACGCUGAGGAGCGAAAGCGUGGGGAGCGAACAGG
This 253-nucleotide ribosomal RNA is filed under the name uncultured bacterium. Its description in RNAcentral is "partial 16S ribosomal RNA". It matches the Rfam family "Bacterial small subunit ribosomal RNA", at positions 524 to 776 of the family's 1533-position model. The record is from RNAcentral.